Molecule: ribosomal RNA, 486 nt
Filed under: uncultured bacterium
Lineage: Bacteria
Description: partial 16S ribosomal RNA
Rfam family: Bacterial small subunit ribosomal RNA
Source: RNAcentral
GAUGAACGCUGGCGGCGUGCCUAAUACAUGCAAGUCGAACGCUGGAGAUCUAGCUUGCUAGAUCGAAGGAGUGGCGAACGGGUGAGUAAUACAUAAGCAACCUACCCACGAAGACUGGGAUAAUCUCUGGAAACGGGGACUAAUACCGGAUAGGUAAUCGGAAGGCAUCUUCUGGUUAUUAAAGGUUAAAAACACUGGUGGAUGGGCUUAUGGCGCAUUAGUUAGUUGGUGAGGUAACGGCCCACCAAGACGAUGAUGCGUAGCCGGCCUGAGAGGGUGAACGGCCACAUUGGGACUAAGACACGGCCCAGACUCCUACGGGAGGCAGCAGUAGGGAAUUUUCGGCAAUGGGGGCAACCCUGACCGAGCAACGCCGCGUGAGUGAAGACGGCCUUCGGGUUGUAAAGCUCUGUUGUAAGGGAAGAACGGUAGAUAGAGAAUAUCUAAGUGACGGUACCUUACCAGAAAGCCACGGCUAACUACGUG